RNAcentral lists this ribosomal RNA (429 nucleotides) under Gemmatimonadota bacterium. RNAcentral's name for it is "Gemmatimonadetes bacterium partial 16S ribosomal RNA". It matches the Rfam family "Bacterial small subunit ribosomal RNA", at positions 355 to 776 of the family's 1533-position model. Lineage: Bacteria; Pseudomonadati; Gemmatimonadota. The record is from RNAcentral.
UAGGGAAUCUUCGGCAAUGGACGAAAGUCUGACCGAGCAACGCCGCGUGAUGGAAGAAGGUUUUCGGAUCGUAAAACACUUUUGUUAGAGAAGAACAAGGACGUUAGUAACUGAACGUCCGCUGACGGUAUCUAACCAGAAAGCCACGGCUAACUACGUGCCAGCAGCCGCGGUAAUACGUAGGUUGCAAGCGUUGUCCGGAUUUAUUGGGCGUAAAGCGGGCGCAGGCGGUUUCUUAAGUCUGAUGUGAAAGCCCCCGGCUCAACCGGGGAGGGUCAUUGGAAACUGGGGGACUUGAGUGCAGAAGAGGGGAGUGGAAUUCCAUGUGUAGCGGUGAAAUGCGUAGAUAUAUGGAGGAACACCAGUGGCGAAGGCGGCUCUCUGGUCUGUAACUGACGCUGAGGCUCGAAAGCGUGGGGAGCAAACAGG